GAUAUAGUCCAUGCCUUAUGGCGACAUAG
Molecule: non-coding RNA, 29 nt
Filed under: Parcubacteria group bacterium GW2011_GWA2_47_8
Lineage: Bacteria
Source: RNAcentral